UAGGCAGGAAAGGGAAAGCGCUUCGGGU
Molecule: non-coding RNA, 28 nt
Filed under: Mus musculus (house mouse)
Lineage: Eukaryota; Metazoa; Chordata; Mammalia; Rodentia; Muridae
Source: RNAcentral